This 2798-nucleotide long non-coding RNA is filed under the name Brachypodium distachyon (stiff brome). RNAcentral's name for it is "long non-coding RNA (BDIS_LNC004020)". The record is from RNAcentral. Lineage: Eukaryota; Viridiplantae; Streptophyta; Magnoliopsida; Poales; Poaceae.
UAGGGGAACGAUAUACACCAGACUGUUACUUUCUAAGCUACAUUUUUUGUGACCUUUCAGUAAAUAGAAUUCGUCUAGUUUCAACCAUUUAGUUUUGCUUUAGCAGGCCAGCUGCUGCUUCUGUUUUUGCUGCUGCCCACGACAGGCCCAGUGACAGCAAGCUUAACGAACAACAGAACGAAAACCCUGAAAAAUAGCAGCAGCUCAGGUUAGGAAUUACCAGUCGUUUGUACCUAGCAUAAGGAAGCAACACCUUUUUUAAGUAAAAAAAGGGCAAACAUGCAAACAGCACAGAGAUUGCUAAGGACUAUUUGUGCAGCACAUAUAAUUAUGCAUUGAGGUAGGAAAAUCAUUCUUAUUUUUCUUUAUUAAAAUUUUGUUCAAGAACUUUUCUCCCCACUCUUUUCCCACUGCUCAGUGUUCCCACUUAGGCCUUAAUUAGCACCAGUGUUUUUUAGGAUAUUAUCCUAAAAAACGUUGAGGCCUUGUUUGGCAUUAGUGCAUUUUUUUUAAUCACUAGUGUGUUGGUAUUUGAGUGUUGGGUGUUCGCCCAGUACUCUAAAAAAACCUUCCAUCUCAAAAUACUAGUAAAAAAACACCAGUACGAAAAGUGUUUUAAAUUAAUAAAAAAUGAGGUGUUAGUGGGAUAAAACUAGGGAUAAUCCUCUCUAAUCCCUCCAUAGCAAACAAACAUUUCGUUUUUUUUAGUGUUUUUUAAUGUGGACCUAAAAACACUAAUGCCAAAUAAGGCCUCAACGGUUAUAGAAGUAUAUAAUUUCCAUGCACAUGCCAUGGACACUCUCAAAAUCUUUUUCCAACAUUCUUACUAUUUAUUAGAAUACAAUUAUUGGAAGUAAAAGAUAAUAUUGUUCAAACAUGUUUCUCAGCUUUUCUCAUACACGUUUUCCCGAUUACCGCCAUUCUUCCAUUUAGUUUCAUCAUCUCCUUCUCUCUUUUCAUCGUUCCCACUGUCUCCCACUCUGAUUGUGUUCUUUCUACGAUUCAUGUGCAUGGAGGGGUUUAUGUGUGGGAGUGAGUUUUGGAUCAUGGGUGCCAAGUAGCUCAGAACCUAGGCUGAUUGUAUGAAAGAGAAUGGUGAAAUUACCAUAUUCAGUAGUGUAGUGUAUUUAUCUGAUCUUUUAGCCAUUUCAGAAGUUCCAACUUCGACACAACGUCACACCCAUGGACCAUUCAUUUGAGGGCAUUCACGCGAUUUUCUUUUGUCAUUGUUUAAUACUCCCUCCGUCCCAUAUUAAGUGAUUCAAAUUUGUCUAAAAAUUGGCGUAUCUAUAUACUAAAAUGUGUCUAGAUACAUGUAAUAUUUCGGCACUUAAUAUGGGAUGGAUGGAGCACAUGUUCACCACUACUCUUGCUCCAACCAUAUUCUUUCAGGAUUAACAUAAAAUAUUUGUUGAAUAUUAGCACUAGUUCUAGUAGAUCGCUAGACUAGCAUGAAUCUUCGCCGCAAAUCGUUGAAGCUUCAUAACACAAAUGCAUUAAAUAAACCAAUUACUAUUCACAUGAAACUUUACCCAUGUUUUUUUGCAACCAAGUUGUUCCAUAGAUUUAAAUGCCUCCACGACGUCGAGACAACUGACACUCCAAUAUUGCUCAUGACUAAUAAGCCAUUGAACUUCCAUUUUAUGUUGGACAGUGCAUUACUCAAUACUCACUUCUUUCACAAAGGUUGGCGUAUUUGGUUUCGUUUAUACAAAAUUUUGACCAAGAUACUCUAUUAGUAUGUGUUUUUUACGAUAUGAAAUUUAUAUUAAUAGCUUCGUCUUCGAUAGUUUUUGCAGAUAGUUGUGUUUCUUAUCAUACAAGUUACAUACUGAUAGAGUACUUAUUGGUCAAAACCUUGUCUUAAUGAACCAAAUGCACCAACCUUUAUGAAAAGGAGGUAGUAUAUACUACAUAUAAUACCUAUUAUCUAAAUGUGCAUGAGUUGAUAUAGAAGAAUUAAUAUUAUUUCACAUAAGUUGCUUAAAUGCACUUUUGCCCUUAAAUUUCCAAAUUUGUGCUGAAUAACAAUUAACUCAAAAUAUGCAUUAGUCUAGUUAGCUAUAGACAAAAGACCAUGACAUAUGUCUAUCAUAUCGAAUGGAUGCAACUACAUACGUAGUUCAACAAAUAUACAGAAUAGUUCAAUGGAGUGAACAGAUAACCACUCAAUUUUUUGUAUUCCCCUCCGAUGAUCCGGUCCAUAAUAAGUGUUUUGGAUCAACUUUGUACUAAAUUCAAGACACUUAUUAUGGAUCAUGGAUCGGAGGGAGUAUGAAAUAAAGAUAUAGAUUGUUAGAGAUACUUACACUCUAAUAUAGCAUGAUAUGUCCUCUAACAUUCCUUCUGACAUUGAUGCAUUCAGGUCGAUGAAAGCAGAUGUUGGGGUGAUGGCCCUGUAUGAUGACAAGGAAGAUUAAAUUGUCAAGUUAUGUGAAAUGCACGAUAAAACGGAAUUUGCGAUAGCAUAAGCCGGAGAAAGCACCUAAGUAUGUAUAGGAAACAAUUAUUCACUUAACAUGAAAAAAAAUCAAACCCACAUGGAAAAAAAGACCAUUCAAUAAGAUCCACAAGAAAAGAAAAAACAACAUUUGCUUAAGUGCUUUCUCAAAAAAUGCAACAAGGAGUCCCAAGCGGUGGGCGAACGUUGCCCGCUAUAUUUGGUUCGUGUACCGUCCCACCGUCUGGAGCGCACGCCGCAGCACGGCACAGCACUCGGAGUAGCCACUGUCACACGCCGAGACAGUCGCGCAGGAGACGCGCACACACCAACCAAACACUGGUCAGCACGCAGCCCA